UAAAUUAGAUUUUCAGUCAGUGUUAGCUUUUGUCCAAUAUUACAACACCAUUAUUAUCAUGAUUGGCUAUACUUGAAGACAAAUGUCUUGAUGUUUCUGAACAGAUUUUUCAAUUUGUACUGCAUUUAGAAUUAUCAAUUGAUUUUUUUUUUAUUUUUUUUUUUUUUUUUGAUUUAGAAUGCAAGCAUAUUUGGGCAUAUUGGAAUCCCAAGUGGAAUGAAACUGCUUUUGUUAGUUCCCCUAACAGUGAAAAUCCUGGAUCGGGAUGACUGGCAGCCUCUCACCUUGAAAGGUCUAAUGACUAGCUGGAAGAAGAUAACAUCUUUUGAAACACAAAAUGAAAGUGUUAAUGAAGAUGAACACAGCAAUUACGGUGAGCUGAUAUUUACAAGAUUCCUAAGAAAAAAUAGCUUUCUAUAUUCUUUGACCUCUAAAGAAAAGUACAAGGUGUAGAGGAAUCCAA
This 463-nucleotide long non-coding RNA is filed under the name Anas platyrhynchos platyrhynchos (common mallard). RNAcentral describes it as "lncRNA (ENSAPLG00000017307.1)". The record is from RNAcentral. Lineage: Eukaryota; Metazoa; Chordata; Aves; Anseriformes; Anatidae.